CGAGCAUCGUGAUGGAUCUGCAUAGAUUUAACGUCCGGCGCCGUUGAUUUGCAGUAGGGACACUCAAACUUCGCGUGACCUCCUUUAUCUUUUCCAGUUCUGUCUAUCAGCCCAGCCUUCCCUCCGCCUCUGUUCGUCGUCGCUGCGUCCACCUUCCCCGCGAUCUCCUUCGCCGUAUGCUUCUUUGGCUUUGCCUUUCC
RNAcentral lists this unclassified non-coding RNA (200 nucleotides) under Hevea brasiliensis (rubber tree). Lineage: Eukaryota; Viridiplantae; Streptophyta; Magnoliopsida; Malpighiales; Euphorbiaceae. The record is from RNAcentral.